Molecule: ribosomal RNA, 465 nt
Filed under: uncultured Klebsiella sp.
Lineage: Bacteria; Pseudomonadati; Pseudomonadota; Gammaproteobacteria; Enterobacterales; Enterobacteriaceae
Description: bacterial SSU rRNA
Rfam family: Bacterial small subunit ribosomal RNA
Source: RNAcentral
CCUACGGGUGGCAGCAGUGGGGAAUAUUGCACAAUGGGCGCAAGCCUGAUGCAGCCAUGCCGCGUGUGUGAAGAAGGCCUUCGGGUUGUAAAGCACUUUCAGCGGGGAGGAAGGCGGUGAGGUUAAUAACCUCAUCGAUUGACGUUACCCGCAGAAGAAGCACCGGCUAACUCCGUGCCAGCAGCCGCGGUAAUACGGAGGGUGCAAGCGUUAAUCGGAAUUACUGGGCGUAAAGCGCACGCAGGCGGUCUGUCAAGUCGGAUGUGAAAUCCCCGGGCUCAACCUGGGAACUGCAUUCGAAACUGGCAGGCUAGAGUCUUGUAGAGGGGGGUAGAAUUCCAGGUGUAGCGGUGAAAUGCGUAGAGAUCUGGAGGAGUACCGGUGGCGAAGGCGGCCCCCUGGACAAAGACUGACGCUCAGGUGCGAAAGCGUGGGGAGCAAACAGGAUUAGAUACCCCAGUAGUC